RNAcentral lists this ribosomal RNA (230 nucleotides) under uncultured bacterium. RNAcentral's name for it is "partial 16S ribosomal RNA". It matches the Rfam family "Bacterial small subunit ribosomal RNA", at positions 562 to 791 of the family's 1533-position model. The record is from RNAcentral.
AAAGGGCGCGUAGGCGGCUCUGUUUGUCAGGCGUGAAAGUCCUGGGCUCAACCUGGGGACGGCGCUUGGGACGGCGGGGCUUGAGUGGGGAAGAGGGUCGUGGAAUUCCCAGUGUAGAGGUGAAAUUCGUAGAUAUUGGGAAGAACACCGGUGGCGAAGGCGGCGACCUGGUCCUUGACUGACGCUGAGGCGCGAGAGCGUGGGGAGCAAACAGGAUUAGAUACCCUAGU